Molecule: long non-coding RNA, 1780 nt
Organism: Cyprinus carpio carpio
Lineage: Eukaryota; Metazoa; Chordata; Actinopteri; Cypriniformes; Cyprinidae
Source: Ensembl
GGAGCUUUCCCCCGCGCGCGCGCUAACACACAUAAUUUUCACGGGCUAUAGCGCCGCUCAGUGGAUUUAUCUUAUUCCUCUAUGUUCAGUUAUAUAGUUUAUUGGGACCUUGGAGAACAAACAGAAACGUCCUGUCCUUUGCCCGGUUCUUUUCUUGGUUGAAUGUCCGCAUUUGUAAUUGUCAUUAUGUCUAGUAACUAUAAUGACCCGCGCAACUGUCAUUACGCGUGAUGUUUACGCCAAACGCGGUCCACGCGGUGUUUACUGACGUGUACUCACCAACACUGCUGGAUGCAAGAAUUAUUGUUGAAAAAUGAGUGUGUAACGCGUGACCCCUCAUUUCCCACCUCGCUGACACCCUCUUUUCUGCAUCUGAGCCUCAUCUUGCAGGAGAGGCAAUCCAAGCUUUUGCUAACUGCAGAUAUCGAAGAGGAAUCUUAAACGGGAGAAAUUCUAGUUAAAAAGAGCAAGAUGGAGAACUAUUGAUCCCUUAUCCCAAAGGUGUCCACCGUAUGCAGAUGUCCCAAAGGUGCACCAGAGAAGGGUAAAUUAAGCCCUUAAAUGUGCAAUUGGCAAUAAUAAGCUAUCAUUACUCAAAUUACAGCAAGCACUGAUUGGGUUUAAAGUAAUGAAGAAAACAACAUGAUCAAUCAUCAUCAGGUCUUGAGACUGUCAGGGUGGUGGCCGAGCACUGCAUCCACAUUGUUGGAGCAGAGCUCCAUCUUCAGGUGCCAGACUGGAGCAGAUAAAAGAGCCCUCCAGCACACAAACACAUGUGAACAUCCUUUAUGAGAUUACAUUCGAACCUCAGAUGCUGCCCAACACACAGAGAUUAUAUCAUAUAUGGCAGACGUCCACCUUUGUCAUCUCACUGAGGCAAGUUUGUUCUCUUCCGUUAUUGUCAUCAGUGCGUACUUGCCCUCCGUAAGUGGAUGUAUCCAAAUGACAAUGCAUCAAACUUUAAUCACUCUUAAAAGUAUAAUUCACCCAAAAAUGAAAACUCUGUCUGCUUUUGCUCAAACCGAGUGUUUUUUUUUAAAAAUGCGAUGGAAGUCAAAGGUCACCAAAACUGUUUGGUUACCAACACAUAAUUAUAAUAGUUCAUUAUCUCUAUCGCCCACCAUUUAUUUUAAAGGCUCUCUCUCGUCAUUGUUGCCUGAUGAUUGAAUUGCUUUCGAAAAGGAUAUAUUAAAUUGUAGCUUUUUAUAAUCCAAGUUUUAGCAAAUGGCUAUACUGCAAAAGAUCUUGCACCACCUAUCAUUUUAAUACUCCAUCACACUUAUGUCAAUCUGGCUGCUGACAAAAUGAUUUCUUAAAUAAGUAGUCUUAGGAAAGAGAAAGUCAUUUAUGCCACAGUUCACCAGCCGAUAACUUCAAAAAGAUAAGGGAGUUAUAUAAUGGAGUGAAUUUAAGUCAUAUUAAGAGGAAUAUGCAGAUGAUGGCCAGCCAAAUACGUGUGGUGAUUAAAUGAUUUUAUGAGAUGAAUAAUGUAGAGUUGAGUCUUUCUUUGUGUGGUUUAGAGAGCUUUAGAGAGGUAGUUAGAUUUUUGUAUGCAUGAUUUUUAAUGCAUCAUGUGAUUCGAGAGAAUUGUGCAUCCUAACUUUUUAGACCGAGAGAAAUCAGUCUGGUUCAUCAAAAUCUGCACAUGGACUUCUUGAACAUUUCGCCUCUACACUCUUUUUACAUUCUGGAACAAAGUUUUCUCACAGAUCCAUUGGUGGCCCGGCAUUAGUGUGCAUGAAGGCUUCUGAAGUUGCCAUCAUCAAUAAUGAGGUCUCAU